RNAcentral lists this ribosomal RNA (253 nucleotides) under uncultured bacterium. RNAcentral's name for it is "partial 16S ribosomal RNA". It matches the Rfam family "Bacterial small subunit ribosomal RNA", at positions 524 to 776 of the family's 1533-position model. The record is from RNAcentral.
UACGGGGGGGGCAAGCGUUGUUCGGAAUUACUGGGCGUAAAGGGCGCGUAGGCGGCCUUCUAAGUCAGACGUGAAAUCCCUCGGCUCAACCGAGGAACUGCGUCUGAUACUGGAAGGCUUGAAUCCGGGAGAGGGAUGUGGAAUUCCAGGUGUAGCGGUGAAAUGCGUAGAUAUCUGGAGGAACUCCGGUGGCGAAGGCGGCAUACUGGACCACCACUGACGCUGAUGCGCGAAAGCCAGGGGAGCAAACGGG